RNAcentral lists this transfer RNA (63 nucleotides) under Pleurobema oviforme. Its description in RNAcentral is "tRNA-Leu". The record is from RNAcentral. Lineage: Eukaryota; Metazoa; Mollusca; Bivalvia; Unionida; Unionidae.
AGUGAGGUGGCAGAAAAGUGCCUCAGAUUUAAGCUCUGAUCAAGGAGACCACUCCCCUUACUA